Molecule: long non-coding RNA, 2144 nt
Organism: Oncorhynchus keta (chum salmon)
Lineage: Eukaryota; Metazoa; Chordata; Actinopteri; Salmoniformes; Salmonidae
Exons: 3
Source: RefSeq, a predicted model, not a curated record
GGAUGGUACAACAGUUGCCGAAAAUCUUUGCUGAUACAAUGAAAGAUGGCUCUACAAUUGGGAGUGGCCAUGGAUCCCUGUUAAACCAGAUGAAAAGACGCGUUGAGCAUAAGAAUGGUGAUAAUCCUCUGGUACGACUAAGAAAGAGAAAAACACUCAGGCUCAUUGACUGUAGUCAGUGCAAGAGGGCCAACUGACGAAUACGGCUGUGUAAGAUGGCAGCCUGACUUUCCCACCGAAGAAACGGAAGAACCUUUGGCGGCAAAGCAUAAGAAAACGAAGCAGUUUUAUUCCAAAGAAGGGCCUACAGGAGGUGACAGAGGACAACUCUCGCAGCUCAUGCAAGCAACAUUUGACUUACAGCGCAGUGCCAUCAACGCUAGCCCAGAACCUAAGGUAGCCGAGCUGAGGAGUGAGUCACUAAGACUGAUUGUCCAAGGGGACAUAACGACUGCUGCCAAAUGGGAUGACAAGCAUCGAGAAGGAGGUCGUGAUGACGGUCCACUCAAACUUUGUGGAAGCGCCGGCAGCUUUUUUCCCCCCCUCAUUCUACACCUUCAAUCUGCAAUACCAAGAGCAGGCUUCACGCACCCUAAAGUUCAUCCAAAGAUGUUUUGCUGGAGAAGAAGAGCCACACAAUGAAUGUACAUGUCUGUACUCUGCCCAGGAAGAUAAUGGACUUAGAAAAGCUAUAGGCUAGUUCCUAUUGGCAAUACAUUUAAUUUAUUUGAGUCAAUUGUGACCUGCUCAAGUAAGUUUGGUUUGUCACUGGGGUUGGCUCUUUUUUUGUGUUUAACAAUUAUCCAGUAUGCACUGAAAUUGACACAUUGUUGAGGAAGUAAUGCUACUUUGCAUGUUUGGAAAUGUCUGGCAUUUACUCAACUUGAGCAGGCAACCCUUAUUAAAGCUUGAGCAUGUAGUUUUGGGAAGGGCCAAAUUAGAAAUCUGGGAAUAGGACAAAAUAUCCAUUUAUCUUUUCUGACCUUAAUCUCACAAUUCUAAAGUCUAAUUACCCUUCCCAAAAAGACAUACUCUGUGUUUAACCUGAGAGUGAAGGUAAUGACAAACCUAAGAUAAGGCCAGGCAGAGAGCAGGCCUACUUACCCCUCUUAGCAGGAAACAAUAUAUUUUUAAAAUGUAUAGCUCAAAGCGAGGCAAUGUGAUUUUUGAGUUACCUGUGUGUGAAAAGUUAUUUUUAUUUCAAAAGCUAAGAUAUGUACCAGUGCUUUUCUUAUCUGUAAUUAUGUCACUUUCUAUGGUGGAACAGUUGUAAACAUGCACCUUAUUCAGGACAUUGAUAUAUAUUUUUUUAAUUGAUACACUUGAAAUCUUUUUGUUGAAAAAAAUGGCUUUGCAUCUGAAUGCAGAAUAGCCUUGUGACAAACUAUCAAUAUUUUUUUAAUGUCACAUACAAGCUAGAAUAUCAUACCAAUACUGUUAAGAUGAACAAUUGUAUUUUGUCCUAAUGAAUCAUUUAAAAAUGUACACUUUUUGAUAGGUGCUGGGGGAAAGGUGUAGGUUUGUCGUUGAGGCAUUUAUGAUGCAGCACAUUUGGCUACAGUUUAUUGGCAUUUCCCACCUAGCAAUGGUGAAGUUGUACUAUGGGAGCUUAUUGAAAGUGUUUGUCACAUUUUUGGUUUGUUAACAUUAAACCAUGCUUAAGAAGAUAUUAUUUGUAUUGUGUUUACUUGUUUUGGUCAUGCAAAACGUUUUAGAAGUUUACAGUACUAUUGGCAUAUUUUAUCUGUAAAUGUCAUGUUACUUUAAAAUCACAUACAAUAUGUCACGCCCUGGUCGAAGUAUUUUGUGUUUAUCUUUAUUUAUUUGGUCAGGCCAGGGUGUGGCAUGGGUUUGUGUAUGUGGUGUGUAUGUAUUGGGAUUGUAGCUAGUGGGUGUUCUGGUUAAGUCUAUGGCUGUCAGAGGCAGGUGUUUAUCGUUGUCUCUGAUUGGGAACCAUAUUUAGGCAGCCAUAUUCUUUGAGUUUGUCGUGGGUGAUUGUCCUUAGUGUCUUUGUACCUUGUUCUGUGUGUAUGUGCACCAGUAUUAGGCUGUUUCGGUAUUCGUUACGUUUAUUGUUUUGUAGGUUUUGUAUUUAGAUUCGUGUUACGUUUGUUCAUUAAACAUGGAUCGCAAUCUACACGCUG